AUUGAACGCUGGCGGCAGGCCUAACACAUGCAAGUCGAGCGGAUGAAGGGAGCUUGCUCCUGGAUUCAGCGGCGGACGGGUGAGUAAUGCCUAGGAAUCUGCCUGGUAGUGGGGGAUAACGUCCGGAAACGGGCGCUAUUCCCGCAUCCGUCCUGAGGGGGAAAGUGGGGGAUCUUCGGCCCUCCCGCUAUCAGUUAAGCCUAGGUCGGAUUAGCUAGUUGGUGGGGUAAAGGCCUACCAAGGCGACGAUCCGUAACUGGUCUGAGAGGAUGAUCAGUCACACUGGAACUGAGACACGGUCCAGACUCCUACGGGAGGCAGCAGUGGGGAAUAUUGGACAAUGGGCGAAAGCCUGAUCCAGCCAUGCCGCGUGUGUGAAGAAGGUCUUCGGAUUGUAAAGCACUUUAAGUUGGGAGGAAGGGCAGUAAGUUAAUACCUUGCUGUUUUGACGUUACCAACAGAAUAAGCACCGGCUAACUUCGUG
This 484-nucleotide ribosomal RNA is filed under the name uncultured bacterium. RNAcentral's name for it is "partial 16S ribosomal RNA". It matches the Rfam family "Bacterial small subunit ribosomal RNA", at positions 30 to 507 of the family's 1533-position model. The record is from RNAcentral.